This 263-nucleotide ribosomal RNA is filed under the name uncultured bacterium. RNAcentral describes it as "partial 16S ribosomal RNA". It matches the Rfam family "Bacterial small subunit ribosomal RNA", at positions 95 to 354 of the family's 1533-position model. The record is from RNAcentral.
CCGGCGCACGGGUGAGUAACACGUAUGCAACCUGGCCGUGACAGAUGGAUAACCGGGAGAAAUCCCGCCUAAUACAACAUAAUGCCGGGAGGGGACAUCCCCUGCCGGUCAAAGGGGGCGACCCCGGUCAUGGAUGGGCAUGCGGCGCAUUAGCUAGACGGCGGGGUGACGGCCCACCGUGGCGACGAUGCGUAGGGGUUCUGAGAGGAAGGCCCCCCACACUGGGACUGAGACACGGCCCAGACUCCUACGGGAGGCAGCAG